GGCCCCUGAUGACCAUCAUUGUCAUCACCCCACUGUAUCAUCAUUCAUCACCAUAAUCAUCAUCACCACGGGCACCAUCAUUAUCAUCAUAUCCACCACUAACGUACCCAUGUACCAGGGAGCUCCCUGGGUUAAUCCACCACCAGCGAUACCAGCAUCACCACCACAGUCAUUAUCAUCAUCUCCAUAUUAACCAUCAUCAUCGUCGUCGUCGUCGUCAUCGUCAUCAUCAUCAUCAUCAUCAUCAUCAUCAUCAUCAUCAUCAUCAAAACAGCACCACCAUCACAAAGCCCAUGGGCCGGGCGGGCCGCCGCAUCGGCUUAAUUUAUUAAGCUUAUUGAAAUAUUUGUAACGUUUGAAAUCUGUGGCGGGAGAUGGUGUCUGCCUAGAUCGACUGAACGAUAAUUUGUUCUAUUCGUUCUAUUACAAUCUUCGAAAUUACAAAUUUAAGGUGAAAAGAGUUCAAAACUACAAGCAUGGAAAAGUAUGCUACAUGUCUCCAAAAAUUGUUGAAGACGCAAUCCGGCUUCAGAGGUCAGAAUUGCAUUUCUGUCAGCACCUUGCUUCGACCCGUCAUCCCUAGAAGUCAUCAGCAGAUCCAUUCAGGAAGGAUGCUCUCUCCAAGCUUACUGCAUUGUAGGUCAUGUUGCACAGUGACUAAAUUCCAAAGAGGAAGGAUCAGAUCUCAAUCUUUCAGAAAAACGUCCACCUCCUCAUCAUUAUAUUCUACGUCUGCUGAUCCAUCUUUGGCACCAUCAAUAGUAACACAGGCGUCAAAGGUCUCCAGACCUGGAAGUCGUCAAAAGCUUGUCAUACUAGGCACUGGAUGGGGUAGCUACAGUGUCUUGAAGAACAUUGACAAGUCGCUAUAUGAUGUAGUGGUUGUUAGUCCCAGGAACCACUUUCUCUUUACCCCUCUUUUAGCGAGCACAACAGUUGGAACCUUAGAAUUCAGGAGUAUCAUUGAGCCAGUAAGGAACACAGGAUUUCGUCAGAGUGACCAUUUUCAUCUUGCGGAGGCUGUUAAAUUGGAUACAACGAAGAAGGUACUGUAGUUUCAGUCAGUGGCGUAAAUCCAUGACGUCGUACUAUUCAAGAGGAGGGAAUGACAAAAUAGUUCAUCCCCCCUGUACAAUAAGUUCACUUCUUGGAUUUACGCCAAUGGUUUCAGUCAUAUUUCAUUGGAAGGGGAGGGAUUUAUUUUAUCAAUUAUUUGAAUCAGGUUUUGGGGAGAGCUCACAGCCACAGUGAGCCUUCGACGCGCGAUACCCUCCAAAUGGCAUCGCUCUCAAUCAAAAUCCGAACUUUAGGGGCGACGUGGGCACCACAUCGAGAUAGUUGGAGGGGGCCUUAAUUUCUGCAACCCAGGUGUUCUGCACCAGGCUACCUUGACAGGGUGUUCAGAGAGCUACCUAAAGGAUAUGCUGUGGCCGUGGGUAUCCACCCAAAACAGGUUUGGCUAAAGAUAUAAUUUUGAGGCAUUGCUAUUAGCUCUUGCUAACGUGAGGGUCAGGGGCAUAUCGGAGGAAUGCCUUGACUUGUCAAUGGAUGAUUCUAAGGGGGAGGGGGAGCUCUUUCAGCAAUUCUUUGGGCUCUCCACAAAAAGACUCCUGGUCCUCUGAGUGGUCAGUGGCUCUCGACCAGGCAACGAGCGGUCUGUCCAUAAAGCCCAGCGCACACUGAUAAUUACGAUUGCACUAGGAUCCGAUUGCCACAAGUUAUCAAAUUCCCUCUCAGUGCAAUCAUAUCGCAGGCCAGUGCACACAUUGCAACAGCCCUGCAGCGAGCAGCUGCAUUUCAUGGCGCCUUUUCUUUUGCACAUAUGUUGUCUGCACUGUAGAAAUGCAGCAAAUUGG
Lytechinus pictus (painted urchin) is the source of this 1856-nucleotide long non-coding RNA. RefSeq lists it as uncharacterized. NCBI's taxonomy places the organism in Eukaryota, Metazoa, Echinodermata, Echinoidea, Temnopleuroida, Toxopneustidae. The transcript has 3 exons. The record is from RefSeq and is a predicted model, not a curated record.